Molecule: small RNA, 342 nt
Filed under: Histoplasma ohiense
Lineage: Eukaryota; Fungi; Ascomycota; Eurotiomycetes; Onygenales; Ajellomycetaceae
Description: hypothetical lncRNA
Source: RNAcentral
AGCUUGUGAGGAGAUAAUUUCAAGGUAAUGGAACGAUUGCCCUUGACCGACACAGCCGGUCGCGGUCAUUCCGUGGAUUCGGCACUGUAAAAAACGGGCAGCCCGAUCCUCCCUUUACAUUAUGUGUGUCUCCCGCCCCAGCCCUUGGUUCUAGAAUUGAUUUUCUUAGUGCUGGAACAAGUUUUGUAACAUGUACAUGUACAUACAUGUAUAUCUACUUUAAAAACCUGCGUUCGUGUUGGGCAAUUCGCAUGUGUCAGUGACUGAGUGGAAAUCGAUUGCCAAUGAACUUACAAAAUUCGUCGACAUUAAUUGAUUUUGAGGCAGCCUUGAAUAGAAUGG